CCUUCUGUGAUGAUUUUAUCAAAAUGACUUUUGUUCUGAGUUUGCUGAAGCCACCUUUAGGUACUGAGAAGG
RNAcentral lists this small nucleolar RNA (72 nucleotides) under Saimiri boliviensis boliviensis (Bolivian squirrel monkey). Its description in RNAcentral is "Small nucleolar RNA SNORD59 (ENSSBOG00000006396.1)". It matches the Rfam family "Small nucleolar RNA SNORD59". From Rfam's summary of the family: U59 belongs to the C/D class of snoRNA which contain the C (UGAUGA) and D (CUGA) box motifs. Most of the members of the box C/D family function in directing site-specific 2'-O-methylation of substrate RNAs. The record is from Rfam by way of RNAcentral. Lineage: Eukaryota; Metazoa; Chordata; Mammalia; Primates; Cebidae.